CCAGACCUUGAUUCACAUUCUGAGAAUGUAAGCUCUUCUAAAGUGCUCUUCAUAGCACGCUGUUCUUUAUAAAAAGAACCAUGGACAUUGUAGGAACUGUUUUGAAAGGCUGAUGGGUUGUGGUAAUCCACUUAAUGACAGGCAGACAAAGCAAGAACUGUAACCUGAAGAGCUGCUUAGAAAUUACGUGUCUCUCCUCCCACCUCCAGGGCCUGCUACAUUGGCCUGGAGACCUCAUGUUGCCAGGCUGACCCAGGCCCCAUGUAUCUUAGGUCUUCUGGAAGAUUUUGCUUCCCCAGCAUCUGCUUCUACUUCUUUUAAUCCUAGCACUGUUGUUUUGGCAAACUCCUCAUCCCCCAACUCUCAAUCCAUGGAAUUCAAGCGGGAGCUGAUACUACUUCCUCUUCCCCUCAACAUAUAUAUCUGAGCUCCAAGGGUGCGCACGUUCCUUGGCCUGGCUAAAGCAUGCUACAUUCCUUUGGCUAAGUGACUGGUCUAGGGAUGGUUACCUGUUUCAAAAUGGUUCAGUGAACUUUGGCCUACAGAUCUUGUUGGAACUAUUGAGAAAGAGACUCUCUCUGUGCUAAGCUGGUGAUCAGGGACCACCCUGAGGCGGAUUGCUUCUUGACAAAGAGAAAGAGAACAGAGGAAAGCAAAGAGAUGGAGCAAGACAAUUCUUGACAUCUUUUAAAUACCUGGAUCCAGUCAUAUUUACCAGAUAUGCUUACCGGAUUUUUCUGUUAUGUGAUGAAACUAAUGUUCAGAAGAGUUAGGUAAGUUGUUCAUGGCCAUGCGGCCAAAGAGGACAAGUCUGUAUUCAAAGAGACCUCAUUUGGAAGCCAAGCUUGAUAUGAAACAGAUUUUGACUUACAGUCUUGUGACAGGUGUGGCUGGAGAGAUAUUCAGGCUAAUGAGGGCCUCUCAGCAUGCCUGACUUCGGAACGGGAGGCACAGUCAACAGGACUGUCAUGUGUGGCGUUGACCCUCAGUGCCACCUUGGACCUCGGUAUGCUGACCACCAGCUUCAGUUAGGACCUUUGGUCAGGUUACUUGCCAAACAAGAUCUAAAGGAAUUCUCUACCCAGAACUCUAUAAAAACAAGAAGAAGAAAUAAUUAAGAACACCGUGUAGAACAACACAGCUUUCAUUCCAGUUUAUAUAUUGUAAAAUAAAGCCACACAGAUCCUAAAC
RNAcentral lists this long non-coding RNA (1191 nucleotides) under Homo sapiens (human). Its description in RNAcentral is "HSALNT0061574". The record is from RNAcentral. Lineage: Eukaryota; Metazoa; Chordata; Mammalia; Primates; Hominidae.